CUGACCUCUGCACCCUUUUGCUCCCCACCUGUCCCAAAAAAGUGGAGCUAUAACUGUGGGAAAAGGGGAUCUGAAGUCAGACACAGGAUCCACAGUAGCCUGGGGACCUUUCUCACCCCCGCCCUUAAGCAGGCCCCAACAUAACCGGCUGAGAAACCUCCUCUGCCAGAUCCUGACCUGAGCCAGGAGGCGGCCAGGAAACUGGAUUUUGGGACUGGGAUUUCAGAGAGGAAGCUGGAGAGCUGCAGGGUGGUCAUCUGUCACUUUAUUUUGCCCGUCUUGUAGCAUGUGGGUCUUUCGCAGCAGGAAGUGUGUUUUACAACCAGAGCCCCCGCCCUCCUGCAGCGCAGGCGCAGCUGGCUGGGCUCCUGCUUCCCACUCUCCACCUCAUCCAUAUUUGUCCUCGUCCCUGCCAGUCUCGAAAAGGCACUCUGUCACGUGUACACAGGAAAGGGCCCUGACAAGAGGAUGGGACUGCAGUUGUGGCUGCCAGGUUGGAGUGCAGUGGCACGAUCUCGGCUCAGUGCAACCUCCGCCUCCUGAGUUCAAGUGAUUCUCCUGCCUCAGCCUCCCUAGUAGCUGGGAUUACAGGACAAGGAGAGGGACAAAUUCCUUCUUGGCAUCCUUAUGGCCCUGUGACCUGCUAAUGAAUGCUGACUCUGAGUUGCUACUAGAAUUUGGUUUCCUUGUGGCUUCCCAGGAAUUGUGAGCCAUGUUGGAUAAGGACCUGCAAGGGAAGAAUGAGGAAGCCUGGGACAGUGCAGGAGGGGAGAGCACUGGUGGUAGAGAGGAGUGAUGACAAGGGUCUCCGCCAAAAGGGAAAUGGAGGGGUUAAAGAAGCUGCUGGGGAGGGUUAAAAACAAUGUGUUCUCACUCGUAGGUGGGAAUUGAACAAUGAGAACACUUGGACACAGGAAGGGGAACAUCACACACUGGGGCCUGUCGUGGGGUGUGGGGAGGGAGGAGGGAUAGCAUUAGGAGAUAUACCUAAUGUAAAUGAUGAGUUAAUGGGUGCAGCACACCAACAUGGCACAUGUAUACCUAUGUAACAAACCUGCACAUUGUGUACAUGUACCCUAGAACUUAAAGUAUAAUUAAAAAACAAAACAAAACAAAACAAAAACAAUGAGGUGCUAUUGUUUUAGUGGUGAGUAUCCGGAGACCUGGGAGUUCUAUUUACCAGGUAUAACCUGGGCUCAAAAUUCCAGGCUGACUUCAGGCAUGUCCUCAUCUCAUAGAUGCCAGCACUAAGGCCCAGAGAGGGCCGAGCUCAUUCAGCCCACCCAUCUUCUCACCCCUGACUGCAUUUCCCGGGGGUCCUUCUGCAGCCAGGUGCUGCUGUGGUACUUUGGGAUCUAUUGGCUGAGCUCCCAGAGAAGGGUCAUGGAUUGGGCUAGUUUGGAACAAGUGAAGGGACUGAAGAUGGGCUCAGUAUGGGGCGAAGACCUUCAGGAAGGGUCUGCAGAGUGAGUAGGGGGGUUUUGACUAGGAAAAGUUCCAACCCUGCCGGGGCCGCUGUCAAGAGAAAAGCAUCUAUUACAGUUACAUUUUUAAGUUAAGUAGACUGAAGAAUAUUUCUUGUGUAUUAAAGACGUUCCUUUUUGGUUGAUUUGCAAUGGAAAAGCUUUUGUUUUCUUUUUUUUUUUGGAAACAGGGUCUCACUCUGCUCACUCUGUCUCCCAAGCUGGAGUGCAGUGGUACAGUCACGGCUCACUGCAGCCUCCACUUCCUGGACUCAAGUGAUCUUCUCACUUCAGCCUUCUGAGUAGCUGGGACUACAGCCCCCUCUGCAGCUCUUCAUGGGGGUCCACUCAAGUCAGAAGCCACAUUUGGGUGUGAUUCAGAGAGCUGUUUAUGCAAAACCAGCUUUGUCACCAUCAGGCAAGGCACCUGAAUUCCCACCGCAGAGAGUGUUGUGGCCGUGAGGACUUUUCUGUCACCAGCCAUUUCCAGGUAGACCCAGUGUAAUCACAAGCAUCCUUGUAAGUGGCAAAGAGGCAGAGGAGACAGCGCCAGAGAGGCAGCUGCAUGAGAAGGAUCAAGAUGUUGCUGACUUUGAAGUUGGAAGAAGAAGGCCAUGAGCCUCAGUAUGUGGGCGGCUUCUAGAAGCUGGAAGGGGCAAGGAGAUGGAUUUGACCCUUCAGCCUCCAGGGGCAGCUGUACCUGCCAUCACUGAUUGUAGCCUGGUGAGGCCUGUUUUAGACUUCUGACCUGUAGAGCUGUAACAUAAUACAUUUGGGUUGUUUUCAACCACUAAGUUUGUGGUAAUUUGUUGUAGCAGCUGUAGAAAAUGAAUACAUAUGAAUCCUCUGGCAUUUGUUUGAGAUUUGCUCUAUGGCCUAGUAUGUGGUUGUAAAUGUUCCAUCUGUGCCUGAAAAAAUGUAUAUUUCUAAUUCAGUAGUCUCUGCUUUUUUUUUUUAUUUUGUACCCCAUCAAUAAAAUGAUUUUCAGCAUGUAUCCCCAAAUAAACAAUAUUUUAUUUAUUGAUUGAUUGAUAAACAGACAUGUUUAAUGAUAGCUUGCUUUUCACAGAGGUGACUUCGGAGACUUCUAAUCUAUAAUCCAGGAGUAUAUAACCAUGCAGCACAGACCAAUUAGUCACAUGUAAAAUAAACUAGAUUCUUACCAC
Molecule: long non-coding RNA, 2629 nt
Filed under: Homo sapiens (human)
Lineage: Eukaryota; Metazoa; Chordata; Mammalia; Primates; Hominidae
Description: PREDICTED lncRNA (TCONS_00059649)
Source: RNAcentral